AGGGCAUCAAAGGCAAUACCUGGAAUCAGACGCACUAUUAAUGACACGGAGAGGAGGACUUCAGAGAGAAAGGCACUCGAAGCGCCAGAAAAAAGAAACUAAGUAGAAUGGCGCAGCGGAGAGGAGGGCUUCAGAGAGAAAGGCGUGGUGGAAGUUGAAGAUGUCCAAGUGGAAGUUGACGAUGGUGCGACGGUAAAGAAACACUUCGUAGAAGACACUUGAAGCGCGGCGGAAAGGAAUGGUGCGACGGAGAGGAGAAAGCUUUGAGUUUCAGAGUUUUCGCAUGGAAAACGAAACUGUUCACUGAUAUCUUUUUAACCUAAUUAAAUGAUACUACCGCGGUUCACUAUAAAAUCGAGGUAAUAGAGUGGAAUAGGUCGCGGUUUUUAUGGAAACCGCGGCCUAUUCUGAUUAAAAAAAAUCUUAAACUGAUCUGAAAU
Molecule: long non-coding RNA, 440 nt
Filed under: Vigna radiata
Lineage: Eukaryota; Viridiplantae; Streptophyta; Magnoliopsida; Fabales; Fabaceae
Description: long non-coding RNA (VRAD_LNC016120)
Source: RNAcentral